AGAGUUAAAUAGUACGUGAAAUUGUUGAAAGGGAAACGAUUGAAGUCAGUCAUGCCGGCGGGAAUCAACUUGGGGGAAACUCUAAGUGCACUUCACGUUUGGCAAGUCAACGUCGAUUUUGGAUGUCAUAAAAUGAUUGGGGGAAGGUAGCUCUUUCGAGAGUGUUAUAUCCCUUAGUAGAUGUGAUGUCUGGGAUCGAGGAUUGCAACGGAUACCCUUUGGGCUAGCCACCUGAUCUCUAACUGAUGUUGGGUUACGGACAGCAUGCUGACCGUGAUUUAAUUAUUGGUUAAAAGGUUAGAGUGAGUAUAAAUUCGUUAAGGACGCUGACGUAAUGGCUUUAAACGACC
This 350-nucleotide ribosomal RNA is filed under the name Dentiscutata erythropus. RNAcentral's name for it is "partial large subunit ribosomal RNA". The record is from RNAcentral. Lineage: Eukaryota; Fungi; Glomeromycota; Glomeromycetes; Diversisporales; Gigasporaceae.